This 465-nucleotide ribosomal RNA is filed under the name Vreelandella stevensii. Its description in RNAcentral is "partial 16S ribosomal RNA". It matches the Rfam family "Bacterial small subunit ribosomal RNA", at positions 338 to 795 of the family's 1533-position model. Lineage: Bacteria; Pseudomonadati; Pseudomonadota; Gammaproteobacteria; Oceanospirillales; Halomonadaceae. The record is from RNAcentral.
CCUACGGGGGGCUGCAGUGGGGAAUAUUGGACAAUGAGGGCAACCCUGAUCCAGCCAUGCCGCGUGUGUGAAGAAGGCCCUCGGGUUGUAAAGCACUUUCAGUGAGGAAGAACGCCUGGUGGUUAAUACCCAUCAGGAAAGACAUCACUCACAGAAGAAGCACCAGCUAACUCCGUGCCAGCAGCCGCGGUAAUACGGAGGGUGCGAGCGUUAAUCGGAAUUACUGGGCGUAAAGCGCGCGUAGGUGGCUUGAUAAGCCGGUUGUGAAAGCCCCGGGCUCAACCUGGGAACGGCAUCCGGAACUGUCAAGCUAGAGUGCAGGAGAGGAAGGUAGAAUUCCCGGUGUAGCGGUGAAAUGCGUAGAGAUCGGGAGGAAUACCAGUGGCGAAGGCGGCCUUCUGGACUGACACUGACACUGAGGUGCGAAAGCGUGGGUAGCAAACAGGAUUAGAUACCCCUGUAGUC